RNAcentral lists this ribosomal RNA (214 nucleotides) under Campeiostachys nutans. Its description in RNAcentral is "Elymus nutans partial small subunit ribosomal RNA". The record is from RNAcentral. Lineage: Eukaryota; Viridiplantae; Streptophyta; Magnoliopsida; Poales; Poaceae.
GGGUUAGUAGGUUGGUCGUGCCUCUGGUAUGUACUGAUCUCACUGAUUCCUCCUUCCUGAUGAGCCGUAAUGCCAUUAAUUUGGUGUCAUGGGGAAUUAGGACUGUUACUUUGAAAAAAUUAGAGUGUUUAAAGCAGGCUCACGCUUGAAUACAUUAAUGGAAUAAUGAAAUAGGAUGUUUGAUUCUAUUUUGUUGGUUUCUAGGAUCGACAUA